Molecule: unclassified non-coding RNA, 333 nt
Filed under: Hevea brasiliensis (rubber tree)
Lineage: Eukaryota; Viridiplantae; Streptophyta; Magnoliopsida; Malpighiales; Euphorbiaceae
Source: RNAcentral
GGCCUCGCCUCGCCUCGCCUCUCGACUAAGGCCGUAAGGUCCCUUGCUGCCUUAGAGUCGCCUUUCACCUUAAUAACACUGGAUGCAUAAGGCGCUAAGGUUUGAGCUUGGUGGGCCUUGAGCCUAAGAAGUGCCUGAGGCGCGCGCCUUUAAUAACUAUGCUACACACUCACAGCUAAGCAACUACUCAUGUUCACAACAAUGUACAAACGCAUUUUUGAGCAUCAAAACUGCUCAAAAGUGAAUUAUCUAAGGGAAAUCUAAGUCACCACAUAUGUAUUUUAUAAUUUCCAAGUGCUAAAUUAUAGGAAACAUACCUGGCGCCGCAAGAGG